This 273-nucleotide long non-coding RNA is filed under the name Lathyrus oleraceus (garden pea). RNAcentral describes it as "Pisum sativum (pea) long non-coding RNA (PSAT_LNC019882)". Lineage: Eukaryota; Viridiplantae; Streptophyta; Magnoliopsida; Fabales; Fabaceae. The record is from RNAcentral.
UGACUUGUUUAUUUUCACAUGAUAUGCAAUAUGCAAAUGCCUAAUGUCCUACAAAAUGAAAUGCAAUAUGCUAAACUAGUCCCAAGAGGAAGAGGGCAAAUUUUGAGGUGUUACAGCUACCCCUAUUCAAUCUAUUGUGAACCUGUCGAUAUGAAUAGCCUCGGCUUUCAGAUGAUCAGAGUGAAGAGUGAUUGAAUACUAAGAACAGACGAACAAUUUGCGCUCCGCUGGGAAAUAAUUAACAAUGCCUGUCAGAAUCGGCAAAGAAGUGAU